RNAcentral lists this ribosomal RNA (456 nucleotides) under uncultured bacterium. Its description in RNAcentral is "bacterial SSU rRNA". It matches the Rfam family "Bacterial small subunit ribosomal RNA", at positions 28 to 524 of the family's 1533-position model. The record is from RNAcentral.
GACGAACGCUGGCGGUGUGCUUCACACAUGCAAGUCGAACGAGGUAGCAAUACCUAGUGGCGGACGGGUGAGUAACGCGUGGGAAUCUGCCUUUAGAUGGGGGAUAACGGGUCGAAAGACUCGCUAAUACCGCAUAUGACGAAAGUUGAAAGGAGUAAUCCGUCUAAAGAUGAGCCCGCGUCCGAUUAGCUAGUUGGUAGAGUAAAAGCCUACCAAGGCGACGAUCGGUAGCUGGUCUGAGAGGAUGAUCAGCCACAAUGGGACUGAAGACACGGCCCAUAACUCCUACGGGAGGCAGCAGUGGGAAUUUUACGCAAUGGGCGAAAGCCUGACGUAGCGACACCGCGUGAGCGAAGAAGCCUCUUGGGGUGUAAAGCUCUGUCAGCUGGAACGAAAAAAAAUGACGGUACCAGCAGAGGAAGCAUCGGCUAACUACGUGCCAGCAGCCGCGGUAAU